Saccostrea echinata is the source of this 744-nucleotide long non-coding RNA. RefSeq lists it as uncharacterized. The record is from RefSeq and is a predicted model, not a curated record. The transcript has 3 exons. Lineage: Eukaryota; Metazoa; Mollusca; Bivalvia; Ostreida; Ostreidae.
AUGAACUCUUACCUCAUCACUCUGUCGAGGAAGGAUGUGUCUGUCUAAAUAUUCUCCAACCAUAUUGAAACUCUGUACUCCUAUAUUAGAAUGCUUAUGGGUCUGAAAAUUUUUGUAAUUUCCAAAAAUAGAUGAUACAUCUGCUCUUUAGUGAUUUCGUAACAGACAAUGCAGCAUCAUCGGCUCUGUUUCCUUUACACGGAAGUCUAUCAAAACUUAACUUCGGAGUGGCACCGUCUCCUGAGAGAAGACUGAUGGGAUCUAUGCUUCCUCCAGAAGAGUUAUCGUUUGUCGUGGUCUGAUGAGGUCGUGAGCUGUUAUCAGUUCCUAACUGCGGACGAUGGAGGGUUGUUUUGCCUGGCCGGGAAUGGAUACACUUUUUGUUAGAGUUGUCGGCAAGAACAGCUCGGGAUGGCGGCGAUGAUGUAAUACGGGGACCAUGAAGUGACUUGGUGUUUAUAUCGACCCUCGUCUGUUCAUACAUGAUUCAUUGUUCAAUACAUGUGCACUGCAUUAUACUACCAUAGAAAAAUGAAAACAAAUACUAAAGGAUUUAUUACACCAAGCUAUUAACUGAGAAGAUUGAAAGACCCUGAAUCAAUUGAAUUUGACAGCUCACUUUACACAGAAUAAAAAUCUUUAUUGUUUCUAAGAUAUUUUUGAUUUCAGAAAUAAAGUCUGCGUUUGCUUCAUGCUUGGCAGUUACGUAAUUUUUGUAAAAAUCGUUUUUCAUCUCACUCCUUC